RNAcentral lists this ribosomal RNA (539 nucleotides) under Candidozyma duobushaemuli. RNAcentral describes it as "eukaryotic LSU rRNA". It matches the Rfam family "Eukaryotic large subunit ribosomal RNA", at positions 40 to 662 of the family's 3401-position model. Lineage: Eukaryota; Fungi; Ascomycota; Pichiomycetes; Serinales; Metschnikowiaceae. The record is from RNAcentral.
AUAUCAAUAAGCGGAGGAAAAGAAACCAACAGGGAUUGCCUCAGUAACGGCGAGUGAAGCGGCAAGAGCUCAACUUUGGAAUCGCUCCGGCGAGUUGUAGUCUGGAGGCGGCCGGUCCGCCUUGCGCAACCACAUCUAAGUCCUCUGGAACGAGGCGCUUGAAAGGGUGACAGCCCCGUGGAUGUGUGUUGUGCUUGGCCCCUGGUCUGCCGACGAGUCGAGUUGUUUGGGAAUGCAGCUCUAAGUGGGUGGUAAAUUCCAUCUAAAGCUAAAUACCGGCGAGAGACCGAUAGCGAACAAGUACAGUAAUGGAAAGAUGAAAAGCACUUUGAAAAGAGAGUGAAACAGUACGUGAAAUUGUUGAAAGGGAAGGGCUUGCAGGUAGACUGUCAGCAUCGGGUGCAGCGGAACUACAAGUGGGAGCUGAUGUAGCAACCUCCGGGUUGCAUUAUACAACUCUCAGAUGGUUCCUGCCGCGCCCGAGGAUCGCCUUUGAAGGAUGCUGGCGCAAUGGCUGCAAGCCACCCGUCUUGAAACAC